This is a long non-coding RNA of Mauremys reevesii (Reeves's turtle), 897 nucleotides long. RefSeq lists it as uncharacterized. Lineage: Eukaryota; Metazoa; Chordata; Testudines; Geoemydidae. The record is from RefSeq and is a predicted model, not a curated record. The transcript has 3 exons.
GCUGGGGAUUAUCUCAGGACAGUGCUUCAGCAGCAAUAGUUUGGUAAGGAGCUUCUUGAAGAAUGGACCCAGAGGCCUGGCUAGGAGAGUUGAGGGUUAAGACACAAACCAACAAAAGCAGGAAUACUCGGAGUUUUAGGAGAAGGACUCUGACAUGCUGUAUUAGAUAGAAGGCAGUAUCAAUAGGAAUGACCAGCAAAGAUUUAAAGAAAAUUUCAAUGCCUAAGGCUGGGAGAAGAUAAGGGAGCCUUGCUUUUAUCCUAUCAUGGUGUGUAUGUCUCUAAGCUUGUGUGUCUAAUGGCUGACUGUAUAAGUAAGGGGACUCUGCUUAUGAAAACUGGCAUCAUCCAGCCAGUAUCUGACUUGUAUGGAUAGAGGCACCUUAAGCAGACACCUGAUGCUCCCUUCACAGAUAAAGGCUCUGAUCCUGCAGUAAUUAGUCUCGCUGAUUUCUGAGGGCCAGUUUUUAUGAUCAGGCCCAAAAUUCAGACUUAAGUGGCAUUUGUUAACGGCUCAAUGGGCUCAAGUGAGAAUUAAGGAUGGAGAGGGCUUAUGUAGCCUGCAUACUUGAAGAUGUGCAAGAUGCAAUUCCCAUGGUGGAAAAUGGAAAGAUUCUCCUUGACUUUAGUGGGAGUUAGAUGGGACCCCCAAAAAAUUUCACAGUGGGGGGGGAAAAGGGCAAUUUCAGAAAUGCCAAGUGUAUUUGCACUUCUAGAUCUCUUAAACUUGUGCUCCAAAUGAUUUUAGUCAUUUUGAAAAUAUCCCUGGGAAAACAGCAGUAAGAGCUCUAGAGUCUACUGGUCUGGCAUCCAAUCACAAAGUGGUAUUCUCCCAAGAAUGUGUCUGUGAUGUGGUUUUCUGUGAUAGAGUGACACACAUGGUGAGCUUGGGAAAACU